This 450-nucleotide ribosomal RNA is filed under the name uncultured bacterium. RNAcentral's name for it is "partial 16S ribosomal RNA". It matches the Rfam family "Bacterial small subunit ribosomal RNA", at positions 338 to 795 of the family's 1533-position model. The record is from RNAcentral.
CCUACGGGCGGCAGCAGUAAGGAAUAUUGGUCAAUGGACGAAAGUCUGAACCAGCCAUCCCGCGUGCAGGAUGAAAGCCCUAUGGGUUGUAAACUGCUUUUAGCAGAGAAGAAAAGCUUUCAUUAAUGAGAGUCUGACGGUAUCUGCAGAAUAAGCACCGGCUAACUCCGUGCCAGCAGCCGCGGUAAUACGGAGGGUGCGAGCGUUACUCGGUAUAACGGGGUCGAAGGGGUGGUAUGGCGGAGGUGGUGCAAUCUUGUCGCUUAACGAUUAAAUUGCCAAUGAUCCUGGUACUCUUGAAUUGGGUUGAGGUUAGCGGAAUGUGACAUGUAGCGGUGAAAUGCAUAGAUAUGUCAUGGAACACCAAUUGCGAAGGCAGCUAACUGGGCCUUGAUUGACGCUGAGGCACGAAAGCGUGGGUAGCGAACAGGAUUAGAUACCCCUGUAGUC